UACGGAGGGUGCAAGCGUUAUCCGGAUUCACUGGGUUUAAAGGGUGCGUAGGCGGGCAGGUAAGUCCGUGGUGAAAUCUCUGAGCUUAACUCAGAAAUUGCCAUGGAUACUAUUUGUCUUGAAUAUUGUGGAGGUAAGCGGAAUAUGUCAUGUAGCGGUGAAAUGCUUAGAUAUGACAUAGAACACCAAUUGCGAAGGCAGCUUACUACACAGUUAUUGACGCUGAGGCACGAAAGCGUGGGGAUCAAACAGG
This 253-nucleotide ribosomal RNA is filed under the name uncultured bacterium. Its description in RNAcentral is "partial 16S ribosomal RNA". It matches the Rfam family "Bacterial small subunit ribosomal RNA", at positions 524 to 776 of the family's 1533-position model. The record is from RNAcentral.